RNAcentral lists this ribosomal RNA (490 nucleotides) under uncultured bacterium. RNAcentral's name for it is "bacterial SSU rRNA". It matches the Rfam family "Bacterial small subunit ribosomal RNA", at positions 501 to 992 of the family's 1533-position model. The record is from RNAcentral.
CUACGUGCCAGCAGCCGCGGUAAUACGGAAGGUCCAGGCGUUAUCCGGAUUUAUUGGGUUUAAAGGGAGCGUAGGCUGUUGGUUAAGCGUGUUGUGAAAUGUAGAUGCUCAACAUCUGAAUUGCAGCGCGAACUGUCCGACUUGAGUGCGCGGAAAGCAGGCGGAAUUCGUUGUGUAGCGGUGAAAUGCUUAGAUAUGACGAAGAACUCCGAUUGCGGAGGCAGCUUGCUGUAGCGUAACUGACGCUGAAGCUCGAAAGUGCGGGUAUCGAACAGGAUUAGAUACCCUGGUAGUCCGCACGGUAAACGAUGGAUGCUCGCUGUGUGCUUAUUUUUAGUAUGCGGCUAAGGGAAACCAUUAAGCAUCCCACCUGGGGAGUACGCCGGCAACGGUGAAACUCAAAGGAAUUGACGGGGGCCCGCACAAGCGGAGGAACAUGUGGUUUAAUUCGAUGAUACGCGAGGAACCUUACCCGGGCUUGAACUGCCGG